GUACCCAUAGCUCAAUUGGCAGAGCUCCAGAUUGUGGAUUUGGCGGUUGAGGGUUCGAGUCCCUCUGGGUACC
RNAcentral lists this transfer RNA (73 nucleotides) under Patescibacteria group bacterium. Its description in RNAcentral is "tRNA-His". It matches the Rfam family "tRNA". Rfam says of the family: Transfer RNA (tRNA) molecules are approximately 80 nucleotides in length. The record is from RNAcentral.